Paramisgurnus dabryanus is the source of this 493-nucleotide non-coding RNA. Lineage: Eukaryota; Metazoa; Chordata; Actinopteri; Cypriniformes; Cobitidae. The record is from RefSeq and is a predicted model, not a curated record.
CCGGAGACGCGCGUUGGGUAUUUACAAAUUUUCUCCUCAGACAAGUGUUUCUGUUUUGUGGUCGAUUCUGGGAUCCUUUUCUUGGUGUGUCUUGAUGUUUUCUAUUGGCUAAAGACAUGUCUCUGUGAAACUGACAAUCUCAGGUAGGAGCUGCUGGUUUGUGGUUGGCAGUAUGGAUCACAGUCUGCGACUCAUGAGGAGCUGGGCUGGAGACAUGAAGAGGUUGUCAACAGGAAUCAUGGGUUCCUUGGUAUUUGAAUUAUGUUGAACCAGGCCAUCCAUCCAAGAUCAUCUAUCUGAGCUGCUGAAAACUGCCUCGGUACGGAUCUGUUGGAGCUUUGUGUCACUGACUGUAUUUCUGCAAAUUCCUGUUCCGUGUCACAUGGCUUAUGCAAGACUGAAUCCAAAAAGGGGGUGGUCUGUGGAGACUGUGGGCGAUUCCUUCUGCUGUCAUUUAAACAUGAGCAGGAGUAAUGACGGGAUUUAAAUGGAC